CAGCCACAUAGCCGAUCUGUCAUCAGAGUGAGUGUGUGUCGGUGUCGGAGUCUCCGUUUUGGUUUUCACUACUCAUUCUGCCUUUUGCCCCACCAAAGAAUCUAUCGUCCUCUUUUUCGUAUAACCAAAUAUGGUAACCCUAGAAAAAGGGAUGUGGAAGGAUGAACAGCAACAUUAGGGUAAAACAGGGAACGUAGAGUAAGCACAACUACCAAACGGAAAACGUAUAUAUUUCAACUAGUAGUAUUUAAAGUACGCAAAAUUACUGUAUUAAGCGACAUCUCAACAUAUACAAGUGUACUUCUGUAUAAAAACAAAAUCUUAGCUAUUCGCAAACCUCAAAACAACAACGUUGAUAAAGCUUUGGAGAAGUAAACAGGAUUUCUGUACAAUUUUAUAAUACAAAUAAAUAACAUCAAAAACACUGACUUGAUGUUACUGUUGAUCAGUAUCACGAUCAGCGGAUAUGCUUUUUUGAAUUAGGCGUGUUGAUGGUGGAAUAGUGACGAUUAACUUUCUGGUUGGCUAAAUGAAAAUACAGUCGUGACAGCAAGGUUUCUCUUUGGAUAUAGCGCAAGUGGGCGGGGCUACAACGGAUGCAGAAAACUUAUCUCGAGCCAUUGGAAGCCAGGAUUGCUUAUCUAAGCAUCAUCAUCGUGCGAUUUGACAGAUCGUGAACUCCGAACUUUGCUCUGAUGUCACAUCAGCAGGAAAGAAUGCUACAAUGCUGCUAGAAUCUCCAAAAGGAUUCAACACUUGAACAUCUUGAACACAUGCAGUAACUGUCCUUUUACUGUAUUAUAAUCACUCAUUGAACUGCCUGAUGCAUGGUCUUGUUUUUUGGUGUUGUAUUACCUCUCAGCUUGCCUUGCAGCAUUUAAAACACCCUGUAGGUGUUUCAUGACAUCUUUUCUGCCUCCUUUUGAUUUCACCAUUCAGUGUAACAGUCCGGUGGUAUGCUACAUAUGAUAGCUCAUAUACUCAUGCUUGAAAUAUUGGUUUUAUCAGAUUACUAAAGGUAACAAUGCAUGCUUGACUACAAAUGUUGUACUUACCUCUGGCUCUCGCAUUUUUUUUACUUUCAGCUUAGCAAUGUAACACUACCUGAGGACAAGAGUGUAUUUUUUUUUCUUUCUUUUAGGGUACAUUGAUGUUUUUUGAUGAGUCCAUCAAUCUUUAACCACCACAGAUUAUAAUAUUUCUGUGUAAAUUCUUUCUUAGAAACUAAUGACAUUUUUAUUUCAAACAUUGUUUUACCCACUGCUGAAUGGUCUUAUUUGUAGUAUUUUAGAAGCAAUCAGAGCUUUGAAUCCUGUUGCAGCAGUUGUUUAGUAGUGCUGUUUGCUCCUAGCAUAUCAUCUCAGCAGAUUAUAAUAUUUCUGUGUAAAUUCUUUCUUAGAAACUAAUGACAUUUUUAUUUCAAACAUUGUUUUACCCACUGCUGAAUGGUCUUAUUUGUAGUAUUUUAGAAGCAAUCAGAGCUUUGAAUCCUGUUGCAGCAGUUGUUUAGUAGUGCUGUUUGCUCCUAGCAUAUCAUCUCAGCAGAACUCAAUCACAGAUUUAUGUAUAUCACAGCAGUACCAUCCACUGGCUUGCUGAAUGCAUAUUGUGUGCAGUAUCAUAAAAUGAUCUGUGCUUCCGUAGCUCACAGUACCUGCUAUUAGUUUGUAUGGUGUUGUACUUACUCUGUGGUCCACUGCCUAACUAUAUUUGCUGGCUUGUUAAAUGAGUGCUUAAUUGUACUUGUUGCAAGGUUUGUAAAAGGUAUCCAUACUUGAGGAUUGUUUAUGCUAUGUUUAUUCAAGUCCGUCUUUUCUCCUAUAGUGUUUACCUUCUCUUCCAUUUUUUUCUCUUUACUCUUUUACCCCAUUCCUUUCUUUCUUCUGUCUCUUUAUGCUACCAAUUUAUCAUAUACCUUUGGUACUUUCUCACAUUUAACCCCCUUCGUUAUUCCCUUUUCCUAGGAUUUACACCAGCUUAUGCACAGUGCAGACUGCUGCUCUACCCAGCCUGAUAUCAAAAUUGUUGCUUAUUUAUUAAUAAGUGUUUUUAUAACAUCUUCAGGCUACAGCUGUAUUUGCUAUUAACUUCAAUUUAUUCUCGUUACUUUGGUAAUAUGCUACUUUUGGUAUCUUUAUUGACCUACCUUACACCUGAUUAAUAGUCACAUAUAUGAACUUGAUUUAAGAAGCUAUUAAAUGCUUUGUAUAUAACGGGAAAGGGUAGUCAAAAGAUAUUAUAUGUAUGUUGGUUUGUUUUAUGCCUAUUGAUUUACCUCACCCAUUCAUAUAGAUAUUUAU
This is a long non-coding RNA of Protopterus annectens (West African lungfish), 2300 nucleotides long. RefSeq lists it as uncharacterized. The transcript is spliced from 3 exons. Lineage: Eukaryota; Metazoa; Chordata; Ceratodontiformes; Protopteridae. The record is from RefSeq and is a predicted model, not a curated record.